Mycena rebaudengoi is the source of this 97-nucleotide non-coding RNA. NCBI's taxonomy places the organism in Eukaryota, Fungi, Basidiomycota, Agaricomycetes, Agaricales, Mycenaceae. The record is from the annotation of a GenBank genome assembly.
GGCCUAGUGGCGGAAGGUUCCGCAUCUGCCAUUCUUCAGUAAAAUUUUCGAAGCUUAAUGUAAGCAGAGUACGCUCGUUCGAAUCGAGCCUGGGCCA